UAGGAAUCUUGCGCAAUGGGAGAAAUCCUGACGCAGCAACGCCGCGUGAGGGAUGACGGCCUUCGGGUUGUAAACCUCUUUUAGUAGGGAAAAACACAAUGAUGGUACCUGCAGAAAAAGCACCGGCUAACUCUGUGCCAGCAGCCGCGGUAAUACAGAGGGUGCAAGCGUUAUUCGGAAUUAUUGGGCGUAAAGAGCGCGUAGGCGGUCUGAUAAGUCUGGUGUGAAAUCCCUGGACUCAAUUCAGGAAGCGCAUUGGAUACUGUCAGACUCGAGUACAGGAGAGGUCAGCGGAAUUCCCGGUGUAGAGGUGAAAUUCGUAGAUAUCGGGAGGAACAACAGUGGCGAAGGCGGCUGACUGGACUGUAACUGACGCUGAGGCGCGAAAGCGUGGGGAGCAAAC
RNAcentral lists this ribosomal RNA (403 nucleotides) under uncultured bacterium. Its description in RNAcentral is "bacterial SSU rRNA". It matches the Rfam family "Bacterial small subunit ribosomal RNA", at positions 356 to 773 of the family's 1533-position model. The record is from RNAcentral.